CUGGCGCGUGCCUAAUACAUGCAAGUCGAACGGUCUUUCUAUGGAAGCUUGCUUCCACUGAGAAGAUAGUGGCGAACGGGUGAGUAACACGUGGGUAACCUGCCCAUAAGAGGGGGAUAACAUCCGGAAACGGGUGCUAAUACCGCAUAGUUUUCUUGAUUGCAUGAUUGAGAAAGGAAAGACGGCCUUUGUGCUGUCGCUUAUGGAUGGACCCGCGGCGUAUUAGUUAGUUGGUGAGGUAACGGCUCACCAAGACGAUGAUACGUAGCCGACCUGAGAGGGUGAUCGGCCACAUUGGGACUGAGACACGGCCCAAACUCCUACGGGAGGCAGCAGUAGGGAAUCUUCCGCAAUGGACGAAAGUCUGACGGAGCAACGCCGCGUGAGUGAAGAAAAGGGUUUUCGGAUCGUAAAACUCUGUUGUCAGAGAAGAACAAGUUGGAGAGUAACUGCUCCAGCCUUGACGGUAUCUGACCAGAAAGCCACGGCUAACUACGUGCCAGCAGCCGC
Molecule: ribosomal RNA, 510 nt
Filed under: uncultured bacterium
Lineage: Bacteria
Description: bacterial SSU rRNA
Rfam family: Bacterial small subunit ribosomal RNA
Source: RNAcentral